ACAGGUUCAAAAACAACUAACGCAUGCAGAAUUGGAAAAGAUAUGAAAACUGUACGUUUGUAAAUCGAUGGAAGAGAUGUUUGAGACUCGAUUGAGUAUAAAAUCAUGAUAUUAACUAUUAAUUAAAACCAGACAGCUGAUAUUUAGAAUCGUAUGUUAUUCACACAUAGCUAAAAUUGCAAUCUACCGUUGCCACGCCAAAACCAUUUUAACUAAGUGCCCCAGAUUUUUUCUACACGAAACGUACGCCAUUAACUAAUCAAAUGUUCUUCUAGAACAUAUAAAAAAAUUAGUCUGGGUUAUUGUAUUUAGAGUUCGUACGGAGGCCGUGAAUAUUGGGUAUUUUCGACAUAUAGCGUGACUGAAAUCUACAAGUGUUUUGUUCCUUCCGGAAGUUCCGGUCGCUAUUUUCUCAUAAAUAGUUGCUAUUUUCAUCGGGAAUUAAACCCGAAAAUGCAUUUCCGUAAGAAUGGCUGUUAUUAUCAAUUUACAUGGUUUUAGCAGUCACAGCAUUCUUUAUUUAAGACUAAGUACUAUGACCGAGAUAAUUUCUGUAUAUUUUAUACCGAUUACAUGGAGAGUUUUCAGCCUGGGCUGAAUUUCAGCCCGGUAAACCGAGCCGAAAUAGCAUCACGAUUACAUGGGCAGUUUGAACCUGGGCUGAGUUUUAGUCAGAGCAAUAUUUAUUCCUUGUAACUAGUAUUAAAACAAACCCAGGAUGAAAUGUCAUCCCGGCCUGAAAUAUACGAUAUCACGAAAGGCAAUAUUCCGCUUGUUUGAGCAUUUAAAACGGCGAUUAAUUAGUCGACUAUUUGACUUGUGUAAGACUGUGGUUGCAUAAUUAUUUGCAAUUACAUGCAUGGGAUAUUUCAUCCGGGUUGACAGGGCUGAAAAUCUCAUCCUGGGUGACAUAAACCGGGAUGAAAAUUUCAACCCGGCCUGAAUUUCAGCCCUGUCAACCGGGAUGAAAUAUCCCAUGUAAUCGCAAAUAAUUUCAGCCCGGGCUAAAAAAAAACAAUCGUUUAAGUGGCUUUAUUUUGCAUUUCGUUUGCAAUUCGAAAUUUUUUCCAUGUAAUCGUAAAAUUCAUAUUAUAUUGAAUUUAUAGGGGCCCCGGUCUGAAAUUUCAUCCCUGUUUGCCAGGCUGAAAUUUCAUCCCGGGCUGAAAACCUCCACGUAAUCGGCCCCUUAUUUUAACUAAAGACAAAACUUAGCACAUUUUCUACUAAGCUAUAAAAGAAGGAUGACUUCGAAAUUAUUUUCAGUUUUUUUUAAUUGUUAGUUUGCAUGUGGUUUGGCUGAACAUGCUCAGAGACAGAGAAAUUGUGUUCUCAAACUCAUUAAUAAUUUAUAAACCGAAAACAAAAGAAAUUAAUGUUUAAUCAUGGGCGUACCGGAAGGAAAAAAUUAGGGGGGCGGAAAGAAAUUUGCCCGACUUUUUCGGAUUGUGCCCGACCAGUGCCGAAAAAUUUUUUUCCGUAACAAAUUAAUUUUGGCGACCUCCCCCCCCCGUUUCGGUCAGUGUAUCAUUUUAGGGGUCCAAAAAUUUUUCGGACAUACAAAAAUUUUUCGGAACAUCAUACAAAUUUUCAACACAUCACAAAAUUGACCACAAAAUUGACGGAAUUUCCCACAAAAUUGACAGAAUUUGUCCCAUUUAUUUUUAUAAUAAGCCAAUAUUGCCCGACUGUGGAGCGAAUAUUGCCCGACUGACUUUGUUUGCCCAACAAACUGGGGGGGGGGGCUGCCGCCCACCCCGGUACGCCCAUGUGUUUAAUCAGUGUUUUGAAACUGGAAGAAAACUAUCUUCAAAGCAGGUGGAGGAUUUGAAAUCUCCCAGGGUCAGCGGGCCUGAUUAAGUAUUCAUUUUCAAACUACUAGUAGUUUGAAAUUUUUCAAGGUACUAGUAGUUUGAAAUUUUUCAAGGUACUAGUAUUUUUAAAUUUUUCAAGGAACUAGUGCACUGGAAUUAAUUUAAGGUACAGAAUAUUGUUCUGCCAUUAACAAAACUACAAAGCAAAAUUAAACACACUUGAAUCCUAAACACUUUUGUGGUGAAAAGUAAACUAUCAGGUAAAAGCGCCGGUUUGUCUUGAGACAGCGAUCGGGCGAUGUAAUUAACGUGUAAAUUUCGUAUCUGGAAAGUUUGAUACUGCAUGUCUAAAAAUAGAUCUUGCCAAGGUCUGACCGUCAUGGAUAUAAAGUGCUCCUUUUUCGCAAUAGUUGUUGGUCAUUGUGGCCAUGAUACUAGAGUUAAAAACAAAUCAUCAGAAUGCGUUCAGUUGUUAAAUUGUAAUCAUGAUUUACAGGGCAUAAAUCGGAAAACAUUGAGCAAUUCGUAAUAUAUCCUGCACAUCGAUCUACUCUUGGAGCAGGGUGGAAACAGGCAGAAACCGAGAAAUGUAGAAUUCCUGUGAUUCUAUCAAAUAUUUCUUUACCACUAUUUCCAUUGUUACUAGAAACGCGAUGAUAGAGACAACAGUCACGACAGGGAAAUCGGGUAAAACACUGCCAAACAAUUUUUUAGGUACUUUAUUGACUUUGAUUGGCAGCAAUAAAAAUAGUGUUAAUGGUUCGCACGCAAAUAUACCUAAUUUUAAAAACUGCACUAAUUUUGCGAGAUAUAAACAGAACCAAAAAUAUUGUGAUUGUUCUAUCAGGAGAGUAAAUUUAAUCGUACAGUACGGUGGCGCGCGAUCGCCAAUCGUGUCAGUUCUACUUGCUUCACCUGAUGUUAGCUUCUUUAGAGACACUUCCUAAAAAUGCUGUAACUGCUAAAACGCUGUGAGUUGCUAAUAAAGGGUGCCUUUUUAUUUUUAACGGCAUUUUCGGGUUUAAAUUCCGAAUGAAAAUAUAAACGAAUGAAUAGCGACCGGAAGGAACAAACACUUGUCGAUUUCAGUCACGCUAUAUGUCGAAAAUACCCAAUAUUCACGGCCUCCGUACGAACUCUAAAUACAAUAACCCAAACUAAUUUUUUUAUAUGUUCUAGAAGAACAUAUAAUUAGUUAAUGACGUAAGUUUCGUGAUGAAAAAAUCUGGGGCACUUAGUUAAAAUGUUUUUUUGCGUGGCAACGGUACAUCGUAAUUUUCGCUAUUUGUGAAUACCAUACGAUUCUAAAUAUCAGCUGUCAGGUUUUAAUUAAUAGCUAAAAUUAUUAUUUUAUGCCAAAUCAAGUCUCAAACAUCUCUUCUAUCGACUUACAAACGUAUAGUUUUCACAUCUUUUUCCUACUUUGCAU
This is a non-coding RNA of Paramuricea clavata, 3240 nucleotides long. The record is from the annotation of a GenBank genome assembly. NCBI's taxonomy places the organism in Eukaryota, Metazoa, Cnidaria, Anthozoa, Malacalcyonacea, Plexauridae.